Molecule: long non-coding RNA, 958 nt
Filed under: Sarcophilus harrisii (Tasmanian devil)
Lineage: Eukaryota; Metazoa; Chordata; Mammalia; Dasyuromorphia; Dasyuridae
Description: lncRNA (ENSSHAG00000021188.1)
Source: RNAcentral
CGGAGCUCAGGAUCCUGGCAACUGGGCCGGCAGAAUAACAACUGGAGACAAGCUGAGAGGGGGAGCCAGGGGCCGGCAGGGCCCCUUCCUCCCGUGGCUGCCACAGCAAGGAAAUAAGGCAGCCGCGGCCCGGAUAACCCGCCCUCAACUCCCCCCACUCCCCCACGCUAGUUCACUAAUGGAACACCACCCCUCUCCCCUACUCCGAUCCUCUCCUGGCCAGAGGCGUUCACAACUGGGCAGUCUAGGCACGAGACCCCUUCAGGAAGGGGGUGGGGGUGGGAGAAAGGUCUCAGACCCUCCCCCAUCCUCAUCUGUCUUGCCUGACUCUCUCGAGCCAACCGCUCUUCCGAGCCACCCACCACCCCAGUGCACAUCUUCCUUCAGCCCCCGAAGCCCCAUCCUGGGGAUGAGAUAGGGGACUUGGGAGUGGAAGGACAACAGGAAAGGUCCAUAGCUCAGGGAUGUGAAAGACGCUCUAGUCGAUGCUUUCCAUUUUUACAGACGAGGCAAACGAGGGCCAGGGAGGAGAUGUCUAGUUCUAGGGCACACAGGUGUGGGAAGUUCCUGGUGUAGGAAAUGCCUCUUGUGAUCAGCAGCACAUCAAGCUGAAGCAGUAUGGUAGCCUGAGGACGAUAUGGGAAGCAACAUGUGCCAGGAAAAUCAGGUCAGCUCUACUACCACUUUGACUACCACCUCCCCUCAGAUCUUGAUGGAGAAGGACUAGGGUCUCUAAGCCCGAGAGUUUUGGAGAGAGCAGUACAUUCCAAUUCUGCUUCCAGCCCAACUUCCACAGGCAUCAUUGAGGGGUCAUGCUUGGGGAUUGCUUGAAGAUCAUUGAGGCGAAAAGAUUUCACAUCUAGCAAGUGUCAGCGGCAAUAUUAGGACCCAUGUUUUUUUUUUUUUUUUUUUUGACACCAUACCCAAUACUUCAUUGAGGAUUCCAAAAUAAUAAUCU